RNAcentral lists this ribosomal RNA (668 nucleotides) under Hydrogenophaga sp. RNAcentral describes it as "bacterial SSU rRNA". It matches the Rfam family "Bacterial small subunit ribosomal RNA", at positions 87 to 752 of the family's 1533-position model. Lineage: Bacteria; Pseudomonadati; Pseudomonadota; Betaproteobacteria; Burkholderiales; Comamonadaceae. The record is from RNAcentral.
GCUGACGAGUGGCGAACGGGUGAGUAAUGCAUCGGAACGUGCCCAGUCGUGGGGGAUAACUACUCGAAAGAGUAGCUAAUACCGCAUACGAUCUAUGGAUGAAAGCGGGGGACCGUAAGGCCUCGCGCGAUUGGAGCGGCCGAUGUCAGAUUACGUAGUUGGUGGGGUAAAGGCUCACCAAGCCAACGAUCUGUAGCUGGUCUGAGAGGACGACCAGCCACACUGGGACUGAGACACGGCCCAGACUCCUACGGGAGGCAGCAGUGGGGAAUUUUGGACAAUGGGCGCAAGCCUGAUCCAGCAAUGCCGCGUGCAGGAAGAAGGCCUUCGGGUUGUAAACUGCUUUUGUACGGAACGAAACGGCUCUGGUUAAUACCCGGGGCUAAUGACGGUACCGUAAGAAUAAGCACCGGCUAACUACGUGCCAGCAGCCGCGGUAAUACGUAGGGUGCAAGCGUUAAUCGGAAUUACUGGGCGUAAAGCGUGCGCAGGCGGUUGUGUAAGACAGGCGUGAAAUCCCCGGGCUCAACCUGGGAAUUGCGCUUGUGACUGCACGGCUGGAGUGCGGCAGAGGGGGAUGGAAUUCCGCGUGUAGCAUGAAAUGCGUAGAUAUGCGGAGGAACACCGAUGGCGAAGGCAAUCCCCUGGGCCUGCACUGACGCUCAUGC